CUACAAUAACGAAUUCUCGAGGCACGGUUCAGUUGGAUGUAGAGCGACCUGUCUUAUUUGAUGUUUGCACCGACCGACUAGUGCGUCUUCAUACUAUUAUCAAAUUGGUCAAUAAGCAAUUGAAGAAGGAAGAUACGAUAACCGAAGGAGAUACAACUCAGUCGACUAUGAGGACACUUCGAAAAUUUAUGACGAGUCGUGGAGUAGCGAAUGUGACGCUACGCACGGGGCAGGUUGGCUUGAGGGGGUCGGCAGGGACGGUGGG
Molecule: long non-coding RNA, 265 nt
Organism: Papilio polytes (common Mormon)
Lineage: Eukaryota; Metazoa; Arthropoda; Insecta; Lepidoptera; Papilionidae
Exons: 3
Source: RefSeq, a predicted model, not a curated record